ACACACAAUAAAUAAUAAAGAAAAAGGAAUGUUUCAAUAGUUGUCUUCUCAGAGAGGCUGUGUGACUUCAAAGUAGAAGUUUGUAUCACGCAAGGCUGAGGUACUAUUGAGAGAGUCAGAAGAACACUUUUCAUCAGAGCAUAAAGAUAAUUACAUCAUAAAAGAAAAAGGAACUCCAAAUACAAACGCUUCUGCUUGAAUGUUUCUUGUCACCAGCAUCUUCCUUGAAGAGCCUGUCAU
This 240-nucleotide long non-coding RNA is filed under the name Anas platyrhynchos platyrhynchos (common mallard). RNAcentral describes it as "lncRNA (ENSAPLG00000022936.1)". The record is from RNAcentral. Lineage: Eukaryota; Metazoa; Chordata; Aves; Anseriformes; Anatidae.